GACGAACGCUGGCGGCGUGCCUAAUACAUGCAAGUAGAACGCACAGUUUAUACCGUAGCUUGCUACACCAUAGACUGUGAGUUGCGAACGGGUGAGUAACGCGUAGGUAACCUGCCUGGUAGCGGGGGAUAACUAUUGGAAACGAUAGCUAAUACCGCAUAAUAUUAAUUAUUGCAUGAUAAUUGAUUGAAAGGUGCAAAUGCAUCACUACCAGAUGGACCUGCGUUGUAUUAGCUAGUAGGUGAGGUAACGGCUCACCUAGGCGACGAUACAUAGCCGACCUGAGAGGGUGAUCGGCCACACUGGGACUGAGACACGGCCCAGACUCCUACGGGAGGCAGCAGUAGGGAAUCUUCGGCAAUGGACGAAAGUCUGACCGAGCAACGCCGCGUGAGUGAAGAAGGUUUUCGGAUCGUAAAGCUCUGUUGUAAGAGAAGAACGGGUGUGAGAGUGGAAAGUUCACACUGU
Molecule: ribosomal RNA, 468 nt
Filed under: Streptococcus gordonii
Lineage: Bacteria; Bacillati; Bacillota; Bacilli; Lactobacillales; Streptococcaceae
Description: bacterial SSU rRNA
Rfam family: Bacterial small subunit ribosomal RNA
Source: RNAcentral